This 889-nucleotide ribosomal RNA is filed under the name Enterococcus faecium. RNAcentral describes it as "partial 23S ribosomal RNA". It matches the Rfam family "Bacterial large subunit ribosomal RNA", at positions 206 to 1097 of the family's 2925-position model. The record is from RNAcentral. Lineage: Bacteria; Bacillati; Bacillota; Bacilli; Lactobacillales; Enterococcaceae.
GUACCUGCAGGAAGAGAAAGAAAAUUCGAUUCCCUGAGUAGCGGCGAGCGAAACGGGAAAAGCCCAAACCAGCAAGCUUGCUUGUUGGGGUUGUAGGACUCCAAUAUGGUAGUUCUUUCAGAUAGUCGAAUGACUUGGAAAAGUCAGUCAAAGAGGGUAAAAACCCCGUAGACGAAAUGUGGAAGACACCUAGGAGGAUCCUGAGUACGGCGGAACACGAGAAAUUCCGUCGGAAUCCGGGAGGACCAUCUCCCAAGGCUAAAUACUCCCUAGUGACCGAUAGUGAACCAGUACCGUGAGGGAAAGGUGAAAAGCACCCCGGAAGGGGAGUGAAAUAGAACCUGAAACCGUGUGCCUACAACAAGUCAAAGCCCGUUAAUGGGUGAUGGCGUGCCUUUUGUAGAAUGAACCGGCGAGUUACGAUUGCAUGCGAGGUUAAGUUGAAGAGACGGAGCCGCAGCGAAAGCGAGUCUGAAUAGGGCGUUUGAGUAUGUAGUCGUAGACCCGAAACCAUGUGAUCUACCCAUGUCCAGGUUGAAGGUGCGGUAAAACGCACUGGAGGACCGAACCCACGUACGUUGAAAAGUGCGGGGAUGAGGUGUGGGUAGCGGAGAAAUUCCAAACGAACUUGGAGAUAGCUGGUUCUCUCCGAAAUAGCUUUAGGGCUAGCCUCGGAAUUGAGAAUGAUGGAGGUAGAGCACUGUUUGGACUAGGGGCCCAUCUCGGGUUACCGAAUUCAGAUAAACUCCGAAUGCCAUUCAUUCAUAUCCGGGAGUCAGACUGUGAGUGAUAAGAUCCAUAGUCGAAAGGGAAACAGCCCAGACCACCAGCUAAGGUCCCAAAAUAUAUGUUAAGUGGAAAAGGAUGUGGGGUUGCACAGACAACUAGG